This 23-nucleotide non-coding RNA is filed under the name Arabidopsis thaliana (thale cress). The record is from RNAcentral. Lineage: Eukaryota; Viridiplantae; Streptophyta; Magnoliopsida; Brassicales; Brassicaceae.
AAGAUCGGGUUGUGGUUUAAGUU